RNAcentral lists this ribosomal RNA (253 nucleotides) under uncultured bacterium. Its description in RNAcentral is "partial 16S ribosomal RNA". It matches the Rfam family "Bacterial small subunit ribosomal RNA", at positions 524 to 776 of the family's 1533-position model. The record is from RNAcentral.
UACGUAGGGGGCAAGCGUUAAUCGGAAUUACUGGGCGUAAAGCGUGCGCAGGCGGCUUUGCAAGACAGAUGUGAAAUCCCCGGGCUUAACCUGGGAACUGCAUUUGUGACUGCAUGGCUGGAGUGCGGCAGAGGGGGAUGGAAUUCCGCGUGUAGCAGUGAAAUGCGUAGAUAUGCGGAGGAACACCGAUGGCGAAGGCAAUCCCCUGGGCCUGCACUGACGCUCAUGCGCGAAAGCGUGGGGAGCAAACAGG